CGGGGUAACGGCCCGACCAAGUACUACGAUCAGUAGCUGAUGUGAGAGCAUGAUCAGCCACACGGGCACUGAGACACGGGCCCGACUCCUACGGGAGGCAGCAGUAAGGAAUAUUGGACAAUGGACGCAAGUCUGAUCCAGCCAUGCCGCGUGAAGGAUUUAAGGUCCUCUGGAUUGUAAACUUCUUUUAUAAAGGGGCGAAAAAAAGGUCUUUCUAGAUCGUCUGACGGUACCUUAUGAAUAAGCACCGGCUAACUCCGUGCCAGCAGCCGCGGUAAUACGGAGGGUGCAAGCGUUAUCCGGAUUCACUGGGUUUAAAGGGUGCGUAGGCGGGCAGGUAAGUCAGUGGUGAAAUCCUAGAGCUCAACUCUAGAACUGCCAUUGAUACUAUCUGUCUUGAAUAUUGUGGAGGUAAGCGGAAUAU
RNAcentral lists this ribosomal RNA (424 nucleotides) under uncultured bacterium. RNAcentral describes it as "bacterial SSU rRNA". It matches the Rfam family "Bacterial small subunit ribosomal RNA", at positions 253 to 669 of the family's 1533-position model. The record is from RNAcentral.